CCCUAGGAACACAUUCUCUUUCUCAGG
RNAcentral lists this non-coding RNA (27 nucleotides) under Homo sapiens (human). The record is from RNAcentral. Lineage: Eukaryota; Metazoa; Chordata; Mammalia; Primates; Hominidae.